Molecule: ribosomal RNA, 253 nt
Filed under: uncultured Rhizomicrobium sp.
Lineage: Bacteria; Pseudomonadati; Pseudomonadota; Alphaproteobacteria; Micropepsales; Micropepsaceae
Description: partial 16S ribosomal RNA
Rfam family: Bacterial small subunit ribosomal RNA
Source: RNAcentral
UACGAAGGGGGCUAGCGUUGUUCGGAAUUACUGGGCGUAAAGCGCGCGCAGGCGGCUAUUCAAGUCGGGGGUGAAAGCCCAGAGCUCAACUCUGGAACUGCCUUCGAAACUGGAUAGCUUGAGUACGGGAGAGGUGAGUGGAAUUCCCAGUGUAGAGGUGAAAUGCGUAGAUAUCCGGAGGAACACCAGUGGCGAAAGCAGCCUUCUAGACCAUGACUGACGCUCAGACGCGAAAGCUAGGGGAGCAAACGGG